UGUCGACAAGCCAUGGCAAGACU
This 23-nucleotide small nuclear RNA is filed under the name Arabidopsis thaliana (thale cress). RNAcentral describes it as "snRNA_10284". The record is from RNAcentral. Lineage: Eukaryota; Viridiplantae; Streptophyta; Magnoliopsida; Brassicales; Brassicaceae.